GACGCGCACUUAGUUGCGUCUUUUCUGGGCUUUCCUUUUAUUCAGUCUAACCAACUCAGCUGGUCACGAUCCGAUCACCCCGCGCCAUCCCACGGACAGAUCGUGGCCUGCUCUACACAACUAACAACAGAAAGAAUUGGUAGAACUAAGACCUAUUCAGCCGCAACAUGAACGCAGCAUGCUUCUGGCCAUUAUUUGUUCAUGCAAAAAAAACAAAACUACUGUGACAGUGCAACAUGAUUAACAUAACA
RNAcentral lists this long non-coding RNA (251 nucleotides) under Hordeum vulgare. RNAcentral's name for it is "long non-coding RNA (HVUL_LNC000170)". Lineage: Eukaryota; Viridiplantae; Streptophyta; Magnoliopsida; Poales; Poaceae. The record is from RNAcentral.